GGCCUAACCCCAUGCACAUGUAAAUGGCAGCAGCAGGAGGAGGAUAUUUCUUCUGCGUGGUCGAGAGGCGGACGGGUGAGUAAUAACAUAUGGAAUCUGCGCCUGUAGUGGGGGAUAUCAUCUGGAAACAUACGCUAUUACAGCGUAUGUGUAUGGGGGAAAGCGGGGGACCUUCUGGCCCCUCGCGAUAUAAUAAGCGCAUAUCUGAUUAGAUAUUGGGGGGGGUAUAGGCCCACCACGACGAGGAUCUGUAUAUGGUGUGAGAGGAUGAUCACCCACACAGGAAGUGAGACACGGUCCAGAGUCUUAUGGGAGGCAGCACUGUGGAAUAUUGGACACUGGGGGCAAGCCUGAUCCACCCAUACCGCGUGUGUGAAGAAAGCGUUUGGGUUGUAAAACCCUUUUUUUGGGAAAGAGAUCCAGCUGGGUAAUACCCGGUGGGGAUGACGGUACCCAAAGAAUAAGCACAGGGUAAAUUUGUGCCCGCAGCCGCGGUAAUAUGAAGGGUGCAAGCGUUACUCUGAAUUACUGGGGGUAAAGCGUGCGUACGUGGUCUUCUAAGUCCGUUAGAAAGCCCCCGGCUCAACCUGGGAAAUGCACUGGAUACUGGGCGAGUAGAGUGUGGUUGAGAGUAGCGGAAUUCUCCGCGUAGCACAAAAAAUGUAUAGAUCAGGAGGAACACCCAUGGGGAAGGCACAUCCCCGGACCAACACUGACACUGUGGCACGAAAGCGUGGGGAGCAAACACGAUUAGAUACCCCGGUAGUCCACGCCCUAAAAGAUGAUGAAAAGGAUGUUGGGUGCUAUUUGGGCACGCUAGUAGCGAAGCUAACGCGUGAAGUCGACCGUCGG
RNAcentral lists this ribosomal RNA (852 nucleotides) under Stenotrophomonas maltophilia. Its description in RNAcentral is "bacterial SSU rRNA". It matches the Rfam family "Bacterial small subunit ribosomal RNA", at positions 45 to 873 of the family's 1533-position model. The record is from RNAcentral. Lineage: Bacteria; Pseudomonadati; Pseudomonadota; Gammaproteobacteria; Lysobacterales; Lysobacteraceae.